CCACACUUAGAUCAGACUUGCCCUCAAGUAUGUACUCAUUAACAGAAAAAACCCAAAAAACUACCCAUAAUCAAUGGCUCACAAAGUUAACUCAACUUAUUUCAAAUAACCCGCAUUUCACAGCAAAAUCUCAUCAAUGUAUACAAAUCAUAAAAGAAAUACCAACACAAUCUUCAAAAGCUGAAAUGUAGCAAACUUAAUAUGUCAUCAUGCAAUUAAGUUCCAUCAAAUUCUUAAAUUAGUGCAUAAAGAAACAUAUACCCAA
RNAcentral lists this long non-coding RNA (265 nucleotides) under Manihot esculenta (cassava). Its description in RNAcentral is "long non-coding RNA (MESC_LNC003235)". Lineage: Eukaryota; Viridiplantae; Streptophyta; Magnoliopsida; Malpighiales; Euphorbiaceae. The record is from RNAcentral.